RNAcentral lists this ribosomal RNA (501 nucleotides) under uncultured bacterium. Its description in RNAcentral is "partial 16S ribosomal RNA". It matches the Rfam family "Bacterial small subunit ribosomal RNA", at positions 29 to 523 of the family's 1533-position model. The record is from RNAcentral.
AUUGAACGCCGGCGGCAUGCCUUACACAUGCAAGUCGAACGGCAGCACGGGUGCUUGCACCUGGUGGCGAGUGGCGAACGGGUGAGUAAUACAUCGGAACGUACCUUAUCGUGGGGGAUAACGCAGCGAAAGCUGUGCUAAUACCGCAUACGCCCUGAGGGGGAAAGCGGGGGAUCGCAAGACCUCGCGCGAUUAGAGCGGCCGAUGCCUGAUUAGCGUGUUGGUGGGGUAAAAGCCCACCAAGGCGACGAUCAGUAGCUGGUCUGAGAGGACGAUCAGCCACACUGGGACUGAGACACGGCCCAGACUCCUACGGGAGGCAGCAGUGGGGAAUUUUGGACAAUGGGGGCAACCCUGAUCCAGCAAUGCCGCGUGAGUGAAGAAGGCCUUCGGGUUGUAAAGCUCUUUUGUCAGGGAAGAAACACCGGCUCUAACACAGUCCGGGAAUGACGGUACCUGAAGAAUAAGCACCGGCUAACUACGUGCCAGCAGCCGCGGUAA